This 253-nucleotide ribosomal RNA is filed under the name uncultured bacterium. Its description in RNAcentral is "partial 16S ribosomal RNA". It matches the Rfam family "Bacterial small subunit ribosomal RNA", at positions 524 to 776 of the family's 1533-position model. The record is from RNAcentral.
GACGGAGGAUGCAAGUGUUAUCCGGAAUCACUGGGCGUAAAGCGUCUGUAGGUGGUUUAAAAAGUCUACUGUUAAAGCUUGAAGCUUAACUUCAAAAAUGCCGUAGAAACUUUUAAACUUGAGUAUGGUAGGGGUAGAGGGAAUUUCCAGUGGAGCGGUGAAAUGCGUAGAUCUUGGAAAGAACACCAACGGCGAAAGCACUCUGCUGGGCCGACACUGACACUGAGAGACGAAAGCUAGGGGAGCGAAUGGG